GACCCUAUCAGCUACAGACAACUAUACCAGACUACACCUAACCCUAUCAGCUACAGACAGCUAUACCAGACUACACCUAACCCUGUCAGCUACAGACAACUCCACCAGGCGAAUGACCUGCAAUAGGCCAUCUACUUCAACAAACGCAUAACUGGUUUAAUUUCCCAUGCAGUGAAGUUAGGGUUAGGGAUAGACUGAAUUGAAGUGAACUAAAUUUAACAAUAAUACAUCCAGCCCUGGUAGCUAUAGGUCUCUGUGUUACCUCAUAUAGAAAAGACUACAACCAGACUAGUUAUAGGGUUUGUUUGUAAAUUCACUCUGGAGUGCAAGAGUGCAGAAUUAGUAAAUUCAGAGCGUUUCACUCUUGGACUAAUCAGAGCUCACACUGGACACUGGCGGUUAAUCAGAGCUCACACUGGACACUGGCGGUUAAUCAGCUCAGCGUUCUGACCUAACAACGGCUGUCAAGCACCCAAGAUAACUGGCUAAAGUUGACUAGCUUGCUAGCUACUUCCAGACACAAAUGAAACAACACCUCACUCUGACCAUUUACCAUAGCAGAGCUGGAUAGGAUGUUUUCAUGUUAUCCAGAGCAUUGGUGACUGUAAUUGUGCUGCUGACAACAAUAUAUUUAUAUUUCUUUGCCAACGUUUACUGACACUGAUCAUAUUCAAUGGGUGCUCGUAAAUUAAUCAGUUAUUUUGGACUCUGGUACACUCAGACGAUGAGUGCUCUGGAAUAGGAUUAGAUAGUCAGAGUGAAUUUACUAACGCACCAAUAGACAUCACAACAUUACAGCUCUGUUACAGCUCUGCUACCUUUUACAUCUUUAACUGUCAAUGUGAACAAGACACAAUCUGGAGAAUGUAUCUGGUGGACUGAUGUCAUCAGAAUGUGUAUGGUGGGUUGUGAUGUCAUCAGAAUGUGUAUGGUGGGUUGUGAUGUCAUCAGAAUGUGUAUGGUGGGUUGUGAUGUCAUCAGAAUGUGUAUGGUGGGUUGUGAUGUCAUCAGAAUGUGUAUGGUGGGUUGUGAUGACAUCAGAAUGUAUUCGGUGGACUGUGAUGACAUCAGAAUAUUGUGAUGUUUUAAUUGUUUGAAAUUCCCUUAUAAUCAAAAUGGUUUCUAGGAGAUGAUGGAUUCCUUAGCAACUGUUGCAAUAAAUUAUAUCUUGAUUCUACAUAGUG
Long non-coding RNA from Oncorhynchus tshawytscha (Chinook salmon), 1184 nucleotides. The record is from Ensembl. NCBI's taxonomy places the organism in Eukaryota, Metazoa, Chordata, Actinopteri, Salmoniformes, Salmonidae.